AUUUCCAUUGGAGCCUCGGCUUCCUGCUUGCAGUUUGAGAUAGGAGCUCUCAGCCUCCAGCUCCAGUGGUCAUCAUGUCGGCUACCAGCUGCAUCCUGUGCUCACCAUGAUGAACCCUAACCCUGUAGAACCUCAAGCCCAAUGGAACUCUUUCUUCUGAAAGUGAUCGUGGUGUUUCAACAGUCAUAGGAAUAGAGCAUUGGCUGCUGCCCUUCACGUUUGCAGAGGCCUGAGGUGGCAGGACGGUACCGUACGAUGACAGGCACAGGUGAUGGGCUGUCAUGAGUCUGGAUCCACUGUCUCACGACUUCUACAGUACUGUCUCUUAUAAAGUAACUUCAGGUAAUGCUCAUCAUAUUUAAGAAGAUCUUUAAAAAAUACCUUCAGACCAAUUAAGGAGAGAAACAAACUCUGGAUUCCCUUGGUGAAUUCCUCAACAAGAUGGCUGUAGCAGUUUUCCAGUGGUCCGUUUAUUAGUUCCAGGACCUAUAAGUUAAAGCAAUAUUAUGUUUGUGCUGUUACUCAAUCUAAAUGGUGUCCCACAUAAAGACCUCAUACUUA
Molecule: long non-coding RNA, 561 nt
Organism: Mastomys coucha (southern multimammate mouse)
Lineage: Eukaryota; Metazoa; Chordata; Mammalia; Rodentia; Muridae
Exons: 3
Source: RefSeq, a predicted model, not a curated record